Molecule: ribosomal RNA, 1247 nt
Filed under: metagenome
Description: bacterial LSU rRNA
Rfam family: Bacterial large subunit ribosomal RNA
Source: RNAcentral
UGAAUACGAGAUGCUACGGCGUCGAAGCAGUCUAUGUCAUACUUCCAAGAAAAGCUUGCACUGUCAUAAACAAAUAAUGCCUGUACCAUAACCGACACAGGUGGGUAGGUAGAGUAUACUAAGGGGCGCGAGAUAACUCUCUCUAAGGAACUCGGCAAAAUGACUCCGUAACUUCGGGAGAAGGAGUGCCUUAUUUAUAAGGUUGCAAUAACAAGAUCCAAGCAACUGUUUACCAAAAACACAGGUCUCCGCUAAGUCGUAAGACGAUGUAUGGGGGCUGACGCCUGCCCAGUGCCAGAAGGUUAAAGAAGUUGGUUAGCAUCCGCGAAGCUGAUAACUGAAGCCCUGGUGAACGGCGGCCGUAACUAUAACGGUCCUAAGGUAGCGAAAUUCCUUGUCGGGUAAGUUCCGACCCGCACGAAAGGCGUAAUGAUUUGGAUACUGUCUCGGAGAGGGGCUCGGUGAAAUAGACUUGUCUGUGAAGAUGCGGACUACCUGCACCAGGACAGAAAGACCCUAUGAAGCUUUACUGUAACCUGAAAUUGAAAUUGGACUUUCUUGCGCAGUAUAGGUGGGAGGCGUUGAGAAUAUUCUUGCGGGAUUAUUGGAGCCAUCAGUGAGAUACCACUCUUGUAAUGUUAGAUUUCUAACUUUGUAUCAUUAUCUGGUCAAAGAACAGUUUCAGGCGGGCAGUUUGACUGGGGCGGUCGCCUCCUAAACGGUAACGGAGGCGCACAAAGGUUUCCUCUGAACGGGUAGAAAUCGUAUCUAGAGUGUAAAGGCAUAAGGAAGCUUGACUGUGAGACCUACAAGUCGAGCAGGGACGAAAGUCGGUCUUAGUGAUCUGACGGUGCUGAGUGGAAAGGCCGUCACUCAACGGAUAAAAGUUACUCUAAGGAUAACAGGCUGAUCUCCCCCAAGAGUUCACAUCGACGGGGAGGUUUGGCACCUCGAUGUCGGCUCAUCGCAUCCUGGGGCGGUAGUACGUCCCAAGGGUUGGGCUGUUCGCCCAUGAAAGCGGUACGCGAGCUGGGUUCAGAACGUCGUGAGACAGUUCGGUCCAUAUCCGGUGUAGGCGUUAGAAUAUUGAGAGGAGCCUUCUUUAGUACGAGAGGACCGAGAAGGACAUACCUCUGGUGUACCAGUUAUCGUGCCAACGGUAAACGCUGGGUAGCUAUGUGUGGAGUGGAUAACCGCUGAAAGCAUCUAAGUGGGAAGCCCACCUCAAGAUAAGUAUUCUCAAAAAG